GGCUACAUCAGAUUGAAACACUGGUUCGCAUACGAUCGCUAAAGUUAAGCAACAUCGAAUCUGGUCAGAACCUAGAUGGGUGACCACUUGGAAAUACCGGGUGCUGUAAG
Molecule: non-coding RNA, 110 nt
Organism: Acanthosepion pharaonis
Lineage: Eukaryota; Metazoa; Mollusca; Cephalopoda; Sepiida; Sepiidae
Source: the annotation of a GenBank genome assembly